This 394-nucleotide ribosomal RNA is filed under the name uncultured bacterium. RNAcentral's name for it is "bacterial SSU rRNA". It matches the Rfam family "Bacterial small subunit ribosomal RNA", at positions 29 to 414 of the family's 1533-position model. The record is from RNAcentral.
AAUGAACGCUGGCGGCGCGCCUAAUACAUGCAAGUCGAGCGAGAAGACGUAGCAAUACGUUUGUAAAGCGGCGAACGGGUGAGGAAUACGUGGGUAACCUACCCUAGAGUGGGGAAUAACUAGCCGAAAGGUUAGCUAAUACCGCGUACGCUCCUUGGACUUCGGUUCAGGGAGGAAAGCGAUGCCGAGGGUAUCGCGCUCUUGGAUGGGCUCAUGUCCUAUCAGCUUGUUGGGAGGUAACGGCUCACCAAGGCUUCGACGGGUAGCUGGUCUGAGAGGACGAUCAGCCACACUGGCACUGCGACACGGGCCAGACUCCUACGGGAGGCAGCAGUAAGGAAUAUUGCGCAAUGGGCGAAAGCCUGACGCAGCGACGCCGCGUGGGGGGAGUGAA